RNAcentral lists this ribosomal RNA (450 nucleotides) under uncultured bacterium. Its description in RNAcentral is "bacterial SSU rRNA". It matches the Rfam family "Bacterial small subunit ribosomal RNA", at positions 45 to 494 of the family's 1533-position model. The record is from RNAcentral.
GGCCUAACACAUGCAAGUCGAACGAGAAAGCUCCUUCGGGAGUAAGUAAAGUGGCGAACGAGUGAGUAACACGUGGGAAUCUACUCUUUAGUGAAGAAUAACCUCGGGAAACUGAGGACAAUGCUGCAUACGUCCCUUCGGGGAGAAAGUUGGCCUCUUGCUGACGCUGAAGAAUGAGCCUGCGGACUAUCAGCUUGUUGGUGAGGUAAUAGCUCACCAAGGCUAUGACGGUUAGUCGGCCCGAGAGGGUGAACGGCCACGCUGGAACUUAGACACGGUCCAGACUCCUACGGGAGGCAGCAGUGGGGAAUCUUGCUCAAUGGGCGAAAGCCUGAAGCAGCGACGCCGCGUGAAGGAUGAAGGUCUUCGGAUUGUAAACUUCUGUUAAGUGGGAAGAAAGACUCAAGCUUAAUACCUAUGUGUGAUGACGGUACCGGAAGAAUAAGCACC